This is a non-coding RNA of Prunus avium (sweet cherry), 204 nucleotides long. The record is from RefSeq and is a predicted model, not a curated record. NCBI's taxonomy places the organism in Eukaryota, Viridiplantae, Streptophyta, Magnoliopsida, Rosales, Rosaceae.
UUCAGAAGACUGUAGGAAAUGCAGUUGCUGCUGGAAGCCUAAUAAAUCUUGCAACUAUCUUGUAUAUUAAUUCCAUUCGAUUUCCUGCCAUUGUAGCAUAUGUCUUGUGUGCAUUUUUCGGCCUUCAGGUUCUCAUAGGCAUCAUUAAGGUAAAGAAGUUUGAUGAGCGGGAGAGGUUGAUAACGGGAACUGCUUAAACAAUUG